This 468-nucleotide ribosomal RNA is filed under the name uncultured bacterium. Its description in RNAcentral is "partial 16S ribosomal RNA". It matches the Rfam family "Bacterial small subunit ribosomal RNA", at positions 28 to 507 of the family's 1533-position model. The record is from RNAcentral.
GACGAACGCUGGCGGCGUGCUUAACACAUGCAAGUCGAACGGAAAGGCCCUGCUCUUGUGGCGUGCUCGAGUGGCGAACGGGUGAGUAACACGUGUGUAACCUCCCCUUUACUUUGGGAUACCUUCUGGAAACUGGGGCUAAUACCCGGUAUGAACUCCUUCUACACGGUGGGGGUUGGUAAGUUUCGGCGGUUCGGCAUGGACGCGCGGUUUAUCAUCUUGUUGGUGGGUUGGUGGAGUACCAAGGCUUUGACGGGUUGCCGGCCUGCGAGGGUGACCGGCCACAUUGGGACUGAGAUGGGGCCCAGACUCCUACGGGAGGCAGCAGUGGGGAAUAGUGCGCGAUGGGCGGAGGGCGGGUGGAGCAACGCCGCGUGCGGGAUGACGGCCGUCGGGGUGUAAACCGCUUGCGCCUGUGACGAAGAGUGAGUGACGGUAAUGGGUAAAGAAGCAACGGCUAACUACGUG